Megalopta genalis is the source of this 2839-nucleotide non-coding RNA. The record is from RefSeq and is a predicted model, not a curated record. NCBI's taxonomy places the organism in Eukaryota, Metazoa, Arthropoda, Insecta, Hymenoptera, Halictidae.
CGGUCCGAGUUUAGAAGCAAAGCUUCAAAGAAAACCGUGCUUUUUCCGCGUGGCGUAUUAUCAGGCCCGUUUCGAAGGCAAAAACAUCUUCCACGGAAACCGUCGAGAGAAUCGUUUCGAGCCGGCAAAUCCUGUUCCCUGGCGAGCCACUGCGCCGGCUAUCGCGAAGAAAAGCAGCAUCGCAAUAGUUCACCCGAUGACAAUAACAACGCCGCGAAGCAAAUAUUUGCGCACGAGCGCGGUCCGCGUUGGAAUCGCGGAACGAGGAAGAGUUCCAUCGAAUGUUUACGAGUUGCAAACAUCCCAUCGGUUCGUGGAUCGCGGGGUCGAUAGUCGUGUGUCGAUGAAUUUACUGAAAGAUCCGGCGUCAGCGACGGGUUCGUCCCGUCCGAAGAAUCCGUCGGACCCGGAGGCCCCACCUCCUCGUCGACGCGGCGCGAUUCCGGCUGGGCCGAUCGCCACGAGGACGCGUGACGUGCUCGAACACGUGAGGAGGCUGCGUCGGGAAACGUCACGGCGUCACGUGACCGCCGCGACCUACGUAGAAGCGACGGGCGACGGGGAGUGGGGGACUCGGGACGGCGACGGUGGAAACGCGGCGGCGGGAAAGCAAUAACGCGAUAGAACAGAGGCUUUUCGCCGAAUCGGGACGUCAGCGGUUAUCGGCGCGCGUCAUCGGUGGUUGCCAGGCCCCGCGAUCGGCGGCGGGACGACGGGGCGUGCACCGUCGUCGUGUAGCCGUCGUCGCCGCCGCGUUCCCCGGAUAAAUCAAUAUGCCGGUGGAAAUUAUUCCACGAUACGGGGAACCGUCGGGUCGCCGGUUUGUUCGCGCUCGGUCGAUUCAAAGGUUUCGCCGAGACGGAACGUCGACGCGUGUUCCGCUAAUGAAAUCGAUCGUCGUGAAUGAAAUGCUGCAUCGCCGCUACGUCAACCGCCACGUGACUGCCAUGUGUGCGUCCGUGUGACCCGCCCGAGGUCGUUCCUCGACGACCGCGCGGAACGAUAACAAAACGUUCGACGACUUUUCGUUCGCGCGUCAGUCACCGGCCAAUGUUCGUCCGCCUCGUUGCUCUUUUCGGCGGUUCGGCCCGUCACGGCGAUCCGAUACACCUACUACUAGUGCAUGUCGGUCGCGUACGGCAGUCAACGCUGGUUUCGCAACAGUGCCGCGAGAUACGCGUGUCUCGCUCGCUCGCUCGGAUUCGGCGGUCGUUCGGCGCGCGUCGGUUCAUUCCGCCGAUAGGUUCGCGGCGGUUCCCGAAACGAUUCCAUCGAGAUCGGCCGUGACACGGUUAUUGGCUAGUGGGCUGCGGAUGUUGUCGCAAGUGUAACGACAUCUAGGAUCGAUCGGAGGAAGAGAAGGAGGAGGAGGAGGAGAGGGGGCGGGCGGCGUUACAGCCUCCGUUCCGGAAAUCGAAUGGUGAUUAAUAACGGUCGCGUAACCGACAGGCUCGCGUCGGAAGGGAACCACGUUGAAACGGACCGUUUGUCAUCGAGCGGCAGAGUUUCGCCGCGAUUCUCGCGGGGAACCGACGCGACAGUGACACGCGAGAACGAGAGAAGCGACGCUGGUGCCAACCGUCGCUGCGAAACGCGCGCACCGCCGCCGCCGACGCGCCAGAAAUGCGAUUACGCGACGUUUCGAGAGAAUCGUCGAAAGAUAUACGGAGGCCUAUUGGAAAGGGAAAUGCUACAUUGGCGAAGGAACGAGCUACCAAACACUACGCUGACGCGUACUGUCUAGACACUGGCUCACGCUGAAACUGUUGCGCCGAAUUGAUACGGCGCUUCCGCGGUGUUCGUAACGAAGAUGUUCGACGGCGGGUCACCCCGUGACAACCUAACCUGUAGCCAAGUAGGAUCGGAAGGCGACGAAGAAAACGAUUGGAAGUGCGUGAAAGCUACGCGAAUGGAACGCGCGCGUCGAGGUCGGUGUCGUCGUAAACGGACUAAUUGAACGAUGACGACGAGCGUGGUGUGGCACUCUAGGUGGUCUCUCGCGGAGUUAAAAGUAACCACGGCCACACCGUGUCCGCGCGCUCGCGCGCGCUGAGGGAAAGUAGGAGAAUCGAAAACGUAAGUCGUACGUAUUGGAAAGUGGUUGAAGACGCUCGAAGUGGGAACAAGGAAAGUUCGACGUCCGAGGGCAGAGCGGUGGGACGCGAAGAGGAAGAGAAGUUAUCGCGCUCGCGCGCGCGCGCGCGCCCGCGACAUAGGUACGAAUGAAGAGUCGGCCGCGUGACUCGGAAUCUGCGCAGUAAAUCGCGUUCACGUGAACGCGCCGCCGAGAACGAGCGCGCUCGUCACGAGGAGAGGAAAGCUUUCGAACGCCGAUCAACGUUUAACGGUUACAACAUGCCGCGCGGCGUAUGUAACUGCUUUUGCCGGGUUGCACGCCGGACUCGUUUAUCCGGAACGCGACGAUCGGUCGGUCCGCCGGCCGCCGCUUCUGCUCCCUAGUUCCGUUCGUGUUUCAGCGUUCGGCUAUCGGCCGAGCACGAAGCCCCUUCUGCGAAAGACGUGGGCGACGCGCUCGCGCUUACGUAAUACCCCCCGAUAAGACGGAUAACGGCGUUGCGCCUUCUCCUUCGAGCCACCUAAGCGGCGCCUCUAUUUUCAAACGCGCGAGCAAAACCGUCGCAGUCCCGAUAUCCCGGCACGCCCGAACGUUUUUCCGCAUCGAUGAAAAUGUCACCGACCGACCGUCCACCCGGCCAGACUGCUACGACAACAACCUCGAUUGGACGGGGCGAGGGGACCUUGCGGUGCACAUGGCGCGCCGGUAACGUCGGAAGCUUCCAUUCAUCUGGGAUCUGCGAAAUCCGUGCGCGGACGUUGC